AUUUCAAUAUGUAGAAGAGAUAAAACAUUAAGUUGUGCUGUAAAUACAAACUCUUAAAAGAGCACUCCAAGCACCAUGACCACUACACGGCUAUGUAAUAGUUGUGGUGGCAGGAGUAUCCUGUUUUCUCCCCAUUAUAACCAUUUAAGAACCUAUGAUACAUUAGAUGCCACUCACUGUUACUUCUCUGCAGCCUGGGGAGCUUCCUACUUGGGAGCUUUCAUUAGCUCUCCAGAGAUAAACCCUCCACCACCAUAGUGGUGAAAACGGUUUGAGUAUUUACAUUGGCACGCUGUACUGGUUAUGGAGCUUAGAGUAUUCCUUUUAGAAAAGACA
Non-coding RNA from Pelobates cultripes (western spadefoot toad), 336 nucleotides. The record is from the annotation of a GenBank genome assembly. NCBI's taxonomy places the organism in Eukaryota, Metazoa, Chordata, Amphibia, Anura, Pelobatidae.